RNAcentral lists this long non-coding RNA (1783 nucleotides) under Portunus trituberculatus (swimming crab). RNAcentral's name for it is "uncharacterized LOC123514315". Lineage: Eukaryota; Metazoa; Arthropoda; Malacostraca; Decapoda; Portunidae. The record is from RNAcentral.
GAGAGAGAGAGAGAGAGAGAGAGAGAGAGAGAGAGAGAGAGAGAGAGAGAGACACGUUUCAUAUAGAACAAAAGAGAAUGAAUAGUGAAAAUAAUUUUUUUUUUAUUAUUAUUUCUUUUGGCGCGGACGGCCGGCGACUGCAAAUGGCAAGUCUUCUUUUAACGCAGCGUGCAAUUUCCCUUCCCUAAUGCGGAGGAAACGUGUGGGAAAGGUAGAGGAGAAGUUCAGGUGUGGAGAGAGUGAAGGCGUUGGAGGAUAUUAGCAGAUUCUUAAAAGUGUCUGCGUAUCAUGUGAGAGAGAGAGAGAGAGAGAGAGAGGAAGAGUGUGUGUGUGUGUGUGUGUGUGUGUGUGUGUGUGUGUGUGUGUGUGUGUGUGUGUGUGUGUGUGUGUGUGUGUGUGUGUGUGUGUGUGUGUCCUUUAUAAAAACCUGCCCAAGACGUCUUCGCUUUCAACAAAGAGCCCACUGCCUCUUGCUAUGUAAAUUCCGCCCCCUUUUCAGUCCUACUCAGCCUUACCGACAUAGAUGAGACACGUUACAAGCUUCCCUACACACACACACACACACACACACACACACACACACACACACACACACACACACACACACUUGCCACUUUAUCAUCUAUUCUUAUUAUAUAAAUAAAAUGAAGGGGAAAAGAUAUUAUAAUAUAUAAGAAAAAAAAUUGUAUCUAUGUAAAAGAUAUCUAUAUAUGUUACUGUGUAUAAUUAAAUGUAAGUGCCAGCACAUAUUACUGUAUCUGCAACGCUGCGUGUAUAUAGACAUAGUAUUGGGUUAGUGACAGCACUUACUUCAUGGUGCCAACAACAAAACAACAACCACAAUAGCCACCACCACCACCAUCACCGUCAUCUUCACAACAUUGCAAAGAGGUGACUGAUUGAUUUCAUUUAAGGUCCGCAACAUUAACAAAGGAAACGGAAGAGCCUAGAGAGAAAAUAAAAGAUGGUGAAUUCGUGAGAUGUUGUAAAAGAAGAUUUGGGUGAAUACUUAAAAAGAGAAAGAAAAUUCGUGAGUGGAUGGUAAAGAAAACGCAUUUCGUAAGAGUGAAGAAAGAAAAUAAGAAAUCGAAUGUCAGUGCAGGAAAUGGCGAUGCUUUCCUCGUGAGUGUCAAGUCACGGAAGAGAGAGAGAGAGAGAGAGAGAGAGAGAGAGAGAGAGAGAGAGAGAGAGAGAGAGAGAGAGAGAGAGAGAGAGAGAGAUUCAGUUCUCCAUCAGAUCAGGAUAAAAGUGAAUACGAUCCCCAACACAAAGUUUAAUGUUGUAGUUGAUGUGUGUGAGCAAGUAAUGGAAGCAUUUCAUUUUGGAUGGAGCAGCGGUUUAGCCCAGCUUGCCCCACGUUCUGUCACCAACUAGCCUGACAUCCAACACCCAAGGAACGAAGAGGAAGGAAAAAAAAAAUCAAUAAAAAAAAAAUCAUCACUGAGAUUUUACGCUUUCUAGUCUGUCUUAUUGAAAGAGGGAGACAAAAAACUGUAACAUGAUAAAUAAAGCUGAAAAGAGAGAGAGAGAGAGAGAGAGAGAGAGAGAGAGAGAGAGAGAGAGAGAGAGAGAGAGAGAGAGAGAGAGAGAGAGAGAGAGAGAGAGAAAACGCCUGUUGUAUAUGGGCGGCGCCGUAUCUACCAGUCGGUUCACGUUCAAACAUGAGCUCUGAAGGGAGAGCAGGGGGUGGUACGGCAGUACAGUCCAGAGGUGCCGGAUGCAGGGAAAUUUCUUUGUUUUAAAGAAAUUUUGACUAUGACAGGGAAGAAAAAUUGCUAAAAAG